Long non-coding RNA from Hemiscyllium ocellatum (epaulette shark), 363 nucleotides. RefSeq lists it as uncharacterized. NCBI's taxonomy places the organism in Eukaryota, Metazoa, Chordata, Chondrichthyes, Orectolobiformes, Hemiscylliidae. The transcript is spliced from 2 exons. The record is from RefSeq and is a predicted model, not a curated record.
AUUGUGAAGAGAGCCCCACCUCCUGUUACAAAUACUCACCAGUCUUUACAACACAGAGCUGUGAGCCUUUUGGCUGUGACUAAUAGAAAAUGGGAUCAUUGCAGUAUAGUGGUGUUCAGUAAUAUUGUCUUAUUAGAAAAGACAGUGGACUAUUCAGUAUUCAUCAAUAAUUCUGCAACUUCUGACCACUGGAAGUGAGGUGGAAAAGGUUUACAACUUGAUGUAAAUCCUGCAACAUAACAAUGCAACAAUUCAACCAGCGUUACGUUGUCCCUGCUCUUCUCCUGGUGGCCUGGAUAGUGGGCUGUUCUGUGGUCGUUUAUUACAUUUUCUCCUGAGGAGUUGGACACAGCAGCAGGUAAA